CCUACGGGAGGCAGCAGUGGGGGAUAUUGCACAAUGGGGGCAACCCUGAUGCAGCGACGCCGCGUGUGGGAAGACGGUCCUCUGGAUUGUAAACCACUGUCCCCAGGGACGAAGAUGACGGUACCUGGGGAGGAAGCUCCGGCUAACUACGUGCCAGCAGCCGCGGUAAUACGUAGGGAGCGAGCGUUGUCCAGAAUUACUGGGUGUAAGGGGAGCGUAGGCGGAGAUGCAAGUUGGGUGUAAAAACUACCGGCUCAACUGGUAGUCGAACUCAAAACUGCAGCUCUUGAGUGAAGUAGAGGCAGGCGGAAUUCCUAGUGUAGCGGUGAAAUGCGUAGAUAUUAGGAGGAACACCAGUGGCGAAGGCGGCCUGCUGGGCUUUUACUGACGCUGAGGCUCGAAAGUGUGGGUAGCAAACAGGAUUAGAUACCCUUGUAGUC
Molecule: ribosomal RNA, 440 nt
Filed under: uncultured bacterium
Lineage: Bacteria
Description: partial 16S ribosomal RNA
Rfam family: Bacterial small subunit ribosomal RNA
Source: RNAcentral